This 706-nucleotide long non-coding RNA is filed under the name Physcomitrium patens. Its description in RNAcentral is "long non-coding RNA (PPAT_LNC010483)". The record is from RNAcentral. Lineage: Eukaryota; Viridiplantae; Streptophyta; Bryopsida; Funariales; Funariaceae.
UUUGUUUAUCAAUAUUAUAUUUGCGGAGACGCUGUACAAUUAGGAGUGGGGCUAUAUAGAAUAAGUAGUUAUUUCAGAAUGUAGAUACCUAUUGUAUAGUAUAAACAGAGAUAGGUAAUUGCUGAAAAGGUGGUUCAGCAGGUAGAACAGAUGAAUAGUCAAGAAAAGUAGUUAUCAUCUAUAGUAUAGGAGUUGGUAUCUUGGAAUAGUAUAAGGAACAUGGGAGAGAGGAAGAAAAUGCAUGACUGUGAUAGUCAUGAGUCGGGGUAUCAGACUACAAUAACAUUGAGCUGGGAUAAGCUUGGUGCUAUUUCUUCUUCUUAGUUUUCUUGUUUCUUUUGUGUUAGUAUUGAUUCUAGUGAAAAGAAUCGAUUUAAUGAAUCAAUAUUUGAUUUACAAAGUUAUUUAUGGAUCACUGUUUAUCAAUUGUUGUAAAAGAUUGAUGAUGUAUGGAAGUUUUCAGUCAUUGUUUAUCGCAAGGUUGUAAGUUCAAUAGAGAGGAAUUGUAAUCAAAAGAAUUGUCUCAAUCAGAUUCUAAGGAUUGAAAGUUUUUCGUUCCAAGGUUUGGAUUAUGCUUAUGUGUUCAUGAAUUAUACAGGGUAUUGAAAUUGAUGUCGUGGUUGUUAUUGUAUUGAUAUAAGAGAGUAGAUAAUAGGAGGAAAAGUUAAGUAUUCUUUGGUAUUGUAAGCAUUCAGCAGUAGCGGUU